UACGUAGGGGGCAAGCGUUGUCCGGAAUCAUUGGGCGUAAAGCGCGUGUAGGCGGCUCGGUAAGUCUGCUGUGAAAGUCCAGGGCUCAACCCUGGGAUGCCGGUGGAUACUGUCGAGCUCGAGUCCGGAAGAGGCGAGUGAAAUUCCUGGUGUAGCGGUGAAAUGCGCAGAUAUCAGGAGGAACACCAAUGGCGAAGGCAGCUCGCUGGGACGUGACUGACGCUGAGACGCGAAAGCGUGGGGAGCAAACAGG
RNAcentral lists this ribosomal RNA (253 nucleotides) under uncultured bacterium. RNAcentral describes it as "partial 16S ribosomal RNA". It matches the Rfam family "Bacterial small subunit ribosomal RNA", at positions 524 to 776 of the family's 1533-position model. The record is from RNAcentral.